Long non-coding RNA from Cuculus canorus (common cuckoo), 1067 nucleotides. RefSeq lists it as uncharacterized. The transcript has 3 exons. The record is from RefSeq and is a predicted model, not a curated record. NCBI's taxonomy places the organism in Eukaryota, Metazoa, Chordata, Aves, Cuculiformes, Cuculidae.
CCCACCCUUCCCCGUCCAACAACACCUCAGGGGGAAGCAGGGGAAGAUGCUCCCGGGGAUGCGGGAGGAGGCGGCAGCCGGGAUCCCACCUUGGGGCGGAGGAGAUAAGGAGAUCAUGGAGGGAUCCUAGAAAACCAUCUCACACCUAGGGAAGGGCUAGAUGGGGGAAAUUGUGGCUGAAGGAAUAACUCUUGGGACUGAUUUAGAUUUAACUAGCAGAUUCCCCAGGCUGAACCCCUCCACUGGGCUGAAUUUAGCAGCAGAAGAGAUAACCAGGAGAUAAGGACUGAUACCCGGGAGGACAGAGGGAGACCAGCAGGCAGCCGAGGGAAAAGGGAGAAGCCAGAGGCAGCGUCGGGAAGGGCUGUGUAUCCAGAUGUGUUGGGUUUCAGACAUGCAUUUCCUUCUCCACGCCUCGCAAAAUCCCUGGCGAUUUUCUCUACAAAAGCAACGUUUUGCUGAAGCUUCGUUGAAUUCUUACUGAAUAUCAGCGCUUUCCUUAAAAAAGAAAGCAAAGUGUCAAUUAAAUACAAUGAAACUGUCCCGAUCAUCUCUGCCAGCAGCAGAGCCGAUUUUAAGGACCUGCCUUGGCUUUGCCUUUUUCAGGGAAACCCAGAAAACAAACAAACAAACAAAAGAAAUAUCCAGUGGUCGGUUUUUCGGGAGCGUGGCCGGAUUCAGCCUCUUCCAGCAGGGAAAUAUCGGUCCUUAGUGCCGAGCAUCGCUUCGCCGGGGGUUCGCAACGCCGUGAGGAGCUAAGCCGAGCCUCAGCCCUGCUUAAACUAACAGCCGGGAGGGAGAGGAUGGAUUCUGGACACUUUUUAUCCUGUAAAAAAACGCAGAGGACGGGCACAGCAGAAUGCAGAGACGAGAACAAAAAUCACUGCUCUGCGCUCGGAGGAGUUUUUUUUUUUUUUUCCACUUGCGAUUACGGAGCAGAGUUAACGAAAUCUGACUGAAAGUUACCCUGCCGAACAAACCCCGGCCUUUCCACUCUUCUUUCCUGACCCUUCUUCUCCCCCAUGGAGAAAAUAAAUCGAUACGAUGCCAGUUUUCUCUCUUUUUUU